GGCAGUGUAGUGUAAUAGUUUGAGCGUUAGACUAUGAUUCUGGAGACCAGGGUUCAAAUCCUCACUCGGCCA
Molecule: non-coding RNA, 72 nt
Organism: Phrynosoma platyrhinos (Desert horned lizard)
Lineage: Eukaryota; Metazoa; Chordata; Lepidosauria; Squamata; Phrynosomatidae
Source: the annotation of a GenBank genome assembly